Molecule: non-coding RNA, 148 nt
Filed under: Homo sapiens (human)
Lineage: Eukaryota; Metazoa; Chordata; Mammalia; Primates; Hominidae
Source: Rfam by way of RNAcentral
GCCGGGCAUGGUGGUGCGUGCCUGUAAUCCCAGCUACUCAGGAGGCUGAGGCAGGAGAAUCACUUGAACCUGGGAGGGGGAAGGUGCAGUGAGUUGAGACUGUGCCACUGCACUCGAGCCUGGGUGACACAGUGAGACUCUGUCUCAA